GCCAGGAAAAAGAAAGAAAAACAAAACAAAACAGAAAAGGUCGAUCUUGCCUUGAAAGCGGGCAGUGGCUAUUUUCUUCUCUCUGCCAAAGCAGGACACGUUAUUCUUAACACAGAGGGCCACAUCGCUGUCCCUCACAAAUACUUCAGACAGUUGUCUUCAACAUCCUGUGGUUCUUCGUCCGAUUCCUUUUUUUUUUUGAGAUGGAGUCUCGCUCUGUCCCCCAGCCUGGGCCACAGAGUGAGAAUCCGUCUUAAAAAAAAAAAAAAAAAAAAAAGAAAAGAAAAAGAGAAACAGCUCAGGGGUGAAAACAGGAUGUGGGCAACAAAACAACACAGGAAGGAAACAGCAAGAGGAAAGGGAAGGAAGAAGAUGCAUCCAAGAACUGGUUAGAGUGCAAGGAAUUGGGAAGGAAAGAAAAAG
Molecule: long non-coding RNA, 423 nt
Organism: Homo sapiens (human)
Lineage: Eukaryota; Metazoa; Chordata; Mammalia; Primates; Hominidae
Gene: MYADM-AS2
Product: MYADM antisense RNA 2
Source: Ensembl